GGGGAGCCCGGCAUGGAUGCCGGGCUAGCCGCACUAGGCCAUGGAUGGCCCAUUGCGGCGUCCCC
Pseudomonas syringae is the source of this 65-nucleotide non-coding RNA. The record is from Rfam. Lineage: Bacteria; Pseudomonadati; Pseudomonadota; Gammaproteobacteria; Pseudomonadales; Pseudomonadaceae.